UUGCUGGUGUUUUAUUAAGAUGUGCCCCACCUGAUCCCUUUCCGAACUCAGAAGUGAAAGCGUCUUAAUCCGAUGAUACUCGGACCCAAUCCGGUCCCGGGAAAGUAGGAUACGCCAGCAU
RNAcentral lists this ribosomal RNA (121 nucleotides) under Parcubacteria group bacterium GW2011_GWA2_42_14. The record is from RNAcentral.